UGCUCUCUUAUUCUCUUAAUUCUAUUUUCACUGUUCUGUUUGGACUUUCUUUGGUUUGGUUUAACCUUAAAUGGUGUUAUUUUCAAAGAUAGAUCAUUCCUAAGUAACUUUAUAUUAUUCAUUUUGUGUCUAUUAUAUUAGCUUGCUCCUUGUCAUUCAUUGUGUUUCUUCUUUUCCCUGUUUAUUAUGCUUAACUGUGAUUUUAUUUUUUCUGUGUUUAUACUUUUGUGAUCUAGCUUAGUGUUUUAUUGGUCUCUAUCCUAUUGUGGUCUAUUGUAGGUUUUCUCUUUUUCUUAUCAUGUUUUCUAUUCUGUUUGUUUUCUUUCCUUUUUCUUAUAUUCUUAUUGGAGUAGACUUUAUCCUAUUCUUUGUGUUUGUGAAAUUGGGAUUACGCUUGAAAUUUCUUUUUAUUGUUUGGACUAUCUUCAUGGCUGAGUGCUUAAAAAUUCUUCAUUGUAAUGUUAAGGGUUUACACAGUAACCUCACCAAAAACUAUUUGUUAAAUAGGUGCAUUAUGCAUAAACCCCAGGUUGUCUUUCUGUGUGAAACUGAGGUGAGAGAUCACUCAGUUUUCAAACUACCAAAUUUUUUUUAUUCUAAUUAUAAUCUUUCCCUUUUUAUCAAUAGUGAAGGUUCAAUGGGAAGGAAAGGGGAGAUCUGGUGCCUUCUCUCAAAAUCCAUUUCUUCAGACCCCCUUUCUUCGGUUCCUGUUUCAUUGAUCUUACCCUUUCCCUGCCCCAUACUUGUUGGGUUCUGAUUGGUUUAUAUGCCCCCCACCAAUCCCUUCGGGAAACUUGUUGGUCUGAAAUCUGCUCCUUUCUAUUUUCACUGAAUUUGCCCUUUUUGAUUAUUGGAGAUUUUAAUGAGUUACUUGCCUUGAGCAGAAAUUUUGUAGUGACCCCCUUCAAUCCCUUGCCUCUUCUCUCCUUCUGAAAAACUUGAUUACCUCCUUUAACCUAUCUGAAAUCAAGUUACUUGACAACCACUUUACCUGGUCCAACAAACAAAAGCCACCCAAGCUUAUUAGGAAAGCAUCGAUAAAUGUUUUGCCUCCCCAUCUUGGUUAUGUUUGUUCCCUAAUAUCCAUCUUUCUAAACUCUCAUCCCUUGGUUCUUACCACAAUUCCAUUAUCAUCUCCAACCAUAAAUCACCCUGUGCUAAGAAGCUUUUCCAUUUUCAAGAUGCAUGGGUUUCACACCCUGAAUUCCUUCCCUUCUAUUUGAACAGCUGGUCCAUAAUAGGAGAUGGCAAUUCCAUUACAAAACUUGCAAACCUAAGCAGAAUUCUUUCUUACUGGAACUCUUCUUGUUUCGGUAAUAUCUACAUUCUCAAAUCCUCUCUAUUCCAAUCCCAUUUAUCCCUGGAAAAUCAACAUCCCUCUCCUUCUAUUGAUGAUGAUCUUUCUUUUGUGUCAAAAAAUUUGCAAUGGAUCUUGAGUCCGAGGAAAUUUCUAAUUCCAACAAUCCAGGUAGCUUUAUGUAUCUCAGGAGACCGAAAUACUAAAUUCUUUCAUGCUGUGCUUAAAGUCAACCUGAAUAAAAGAAGUACUGAUUUCAUACCAGUGAUAGCACCACCUUCUUUGCUUCUUGUGACAUUGCUAAAGAACUUGCCUCUUUCCUUUCUACCCUCUUCACCACUACCAACCCCCUUGACCCCUCUUUCAUCGAAUGUCUUUUUUCCCCCUGUUUUGGACCAUGAUGACGUUUCUUCUAUCAAUCAAAUCCCCUCCUUUGAUGAGAUUCGAUUUUUUUUUCUAUUGGGGCCUACAAGGUUCCUCAUCUUGUGUUCUGAUGGGUUCCAAGUAGUUUUUUAUCACAAAUUUUGGGAUUUAAUCAAUUCGAAUGUCUGCAACUUUGUCAUCUCAUUCUUCAGAGACAUCUAUCUCCCAUAUGGCACUAACCAUACCCUUGUAUGCCUUAUCCCAAAAAAAAAGAAUCAGCUUCUUUUGUGGAGGAAUUUCGACCCGUCAGUUUGUGCAAUGUCUCUUACAAAAUCAUUGCAUGCAGACUCAAAGGUGUUCUCCACAAGGUCAUUUCUCCAUUCCAAUCUGCUUUCUUUCUUAGCAGACAUAUUUCUGAUAGCAUUAUUAUUGCCCAUGAAAAUUUUCACCAUCUCAAACACUCUAAGAGGAAGGUGGGUUUUUUCGCUAUUAACCUUGAUAUGGCCAAAGCCUAUAACAAGUUGGAAUGGGGGUUUAUCCGAGGCAACUUUGGCUUUCUGGGUUUUUGGCAGAAAUUGGGAGACUUUAUCAGUUAUCUUAUUAAUUCAUCCUCCUUUUCCAUAAAGCUUAAAGGCUCUCUGCCUUUAAUUUCUUUGAACCUACCAGGGGUACAUAGGGUUGCCCUCUCAGCCAUUUCUCUUCAUUGUGGCAAUGGAAGGAUUGUCUAGACUGCUGUGAGCUUACAGGGACCUUGAUCUUUUAUAGGCAUCAAGGUUGCUAGGAGAGCACCUAAAAUCUCCCAUUUAUUCUUUGCAGAUGACAUAUUCAUUUUUUUUUCCAUGCUACAACAGAAGAUGUAUCCACAAUCAAAUAUAUCCUUGAUAUUUUCUCAAAUCUUUCAGGUUAGACAAUUUUUUUUUAUAAAAGUGGAAUUGCUUUCAAUUCUAAUGUUAAUAAUUCUUGUAAGUCCAACAUCUGGAUAUCUCAAUAUCAAAGAAAUGAACAAUUCAUAUUCUUACCUGGGAACUAACCUCUUUCUUGCCAGAUGUAAAGUAGCAAGAUUCAAUCAUAUUGUCCAUAGGGCUAAUAAAAAACUUAUAAGAAUAAAUUUCCUCCCACAACAUGCUCUCGCUUACAUUCCCUCUUACCUUAUGUUCUGCUUUGCCUUGCCGAAGACUAUAUGCAAAAAGCUAGACUCCAUUGACCUAUGAUUCUGAAAUGGUGAUAAUAACCAUACUAAGAGAGCACACAUCAUUGGAUGGAAGAUAUUUCCCCUCCCAAAUAAUGGAGGUCUUGUAUCGAGGGACUCUGAAACUCAAAACAAGGCUCUUUUGGUGAAGUUUGGAUGGAGAUUAAUUAUUGAAGACAAGACUCUAUGGGUGUAACUGUUCUUCUCUAUGCUCAAAUUGGUGGCUAUUCUUUUGGAAACUGCACAUACACUCGAAAUUUGAAAUAUUUUUCUAGAGAUUAGCACUUGGUGAAACUCCAACUAAAGACCUGCUGGGGAGAUGGAUGACAAUAGAUCCUAUAUGUGAAUUUUGUAAUUCCCAUCCUGAUUUUACCUGGCAUACACUCCUUUCUUGCUAUUUCACAAAGACAACCUGGGCUGCUUGCCCUUUGCAAAUGGAUUACUUUUGUGCUUUUUAUUUUCAGAAUCUUAUCAUGUAUCUGUUUAACUC
Long non-coding RNA from Macadamia integrifolia, 3339 nucleotides. RefSeq lists it as uncharacterized. The transcript is spliced from 2 exons. The record is from RefSeq and is a predicted model, not a curated record. Lineage: Eukaryota; Viridiplantae; Streptophyta; Magnoliopsida; Proteales; Proteaceae.